Molecule: ribosomal RNA, 253 nt
Filed under: uncultured bacterium
Lineage: Bacteria
Description: partial 16S ribosomal RNA
Rfam family: Bacterial small subunit ribosomal RNA
Source: RNAcentral
UACGUAGGGUCCGAGCGUUGUCCGGAAUCAUUGGGCGUAAAGAGCUCGUAGGCGGUCUGUCGCGUCUGCUGUGAAAACUCGGGGCUUAACCCCGGGCCUGCAGUGGGUACGGGCAGACUAGAGUGCGGUAGGGGAGACUGGAAUUCCUGGUGUAGCGGUGAAAUGCGCAGAUAUCAGGAGGAACACCGGUGGCGAAGGCGGGUCUCUGGGCCGUAACUGACGCUGAGGAGCGAAAGCAUGGGGAGCGAACAGG